AGCUUGUUGGUAAGGUAACGGCUUACCAAGGCUAAGACGGCUAGGGGGCGUGAGAGCGCGAUCCCCCACAAUGGGACUGAGACACGGCCCAUACUCCUACGGGAGGCAGCAGUGAGGAAUAUUGCACAAUGGGGGCAACCCUGAUGCAGCAACGCCGCGUGAACGAUGAAGGCCUUCGGGUCGUAAAGUUCUUUUCUGAGGGACGAUAAUGACGGUACCUCAGGAAUAAGUCCCGGCUAACUACGUGCCAGCAGCCGCGGUAAAACGUAGGGGGCGAGCGUUAUCCGGAUUUAUUGGGCGUAAAGCGCGCGUAGGCGGCGCGGUAAGUUGGACGUGAAAGCUCCCGGCUCAACUGGGAGAGGUCGUUCAAAACUACCGUGCUUGAGGUUGGAAGAGGAGAGUAGAAUUCCCGGUGUAGUGGUGGAAUGCGUAGAUAUCGGGAGGAAUACCAGUGGCGAAAGCGACUCUCUGGUCCACACCUGACGCUGAGGUGCGAAAGCGUGGGUAGCGAACGGGAUUAGAUACCCCGGUAGUCCACGCUGUAAACGAUGGAUACUAGGUGUAGGGGGUCACUUAACCCCUCUGUGCCGGAGCAAACGCGUUAAGUAUCCCGCCUGGGGACUACGGCCGCAAGGCUAAAACUCAAAGGAAUUGACGGGGGCCCGCACAAGCAGCGGAGCGUGUGGUUUAAUUCGAUACGCGAAGAACCUUACCUGGGCUGAACUACGUGGUAGUAGAGAAGCGAAAGUGGAUCGACCCUUCGGGGAGCCUCGAUAGGUGCUGCAUGGCUGUCGUCAGCUCGUGUCGUGAGAUGUUGGGUUAAGUCCCGCAACGAGCGCAACCCUCGUCGUUAGUUAUACGUGUCUAGCGAGACUGCCGGUAUCAAACCGGAGGAAGGUGGGGAUGACGUCAAGUCAGCAUGGUCUUUAUGUCCAGGGCUACACACACGCUACAAUGGCUGGUACAACAGGUUGCCACAUCGCGAGAUGGAGCUAAUCCCUAAAGCCAGUCUCAGUUCGGAUUGCAGUCUGCAACUCGACUGCAUGAAGGUGGAGUUGCUAGUAACCGCGCGUCAGCAUAGUGCGGUGAAUGCGUUCCCGGGCCUUGUACACACCGCCCGUCACAUCAUGGAAGUCGGUAACACCUGAAGUCGGUGACCUAACCGCAAGGAAGGAGCUGCCUAAGGUGGGACCGGUAACUGGGAUGAAGUCGUAACAAGGUAGCUGUAGCGGAAGCUGCGGCUG
RNAcentral lists this ribosomal RNA (1244 nucleotides) under metagenome. RNAcentral's name for it is "bacterial SSU rRNA". It matches the Rfam family "Bacterial small subunit ribosomal RNA", at positions 243 to 1520 of the family's 1533-position model. The record is from RNAcentral.